GAUGAACGCUGGCGGCGUGCCUAAUACAUGCAAGUCGAGCGAACGGACGAGAAGCUUGCUUCUCUGAUGUUAGCGGCGGACGGGUGAGUAACACGUGGAUAACCUACCUAUAAGACUGGGAUAACUUCGGGAAACCGGAGCUAAUACCGGAUAAUAUUUUGAACCGCAUGGUUCAAAAGUGAAAGACGGUCUUGCUGUCACUUAUAGAUGGAUCCGCGCUGCAUUAGCUAGUUGGUAAGGUAACGGCUUACCAAGGCAACGAUGCAUAGCCGACCUGAGAGGGGGCUCGGCCACACGGGAACUGAGACACGGUCCAGACUCCUACGGGAGGCAGCAGGAGGGAAUCUUCCGCAAUGGGGGAAAGCCUGACGGAGCAACGCCGCGGGAGUGAUGAAGGUCUUCGGAUCGUAAAACUCUGUUAUUAGGGAAAAACAAAUGGGUAAGUAACUGGGCACAUCUGGCGGGAACCAAAACAGAAAGCCCGGGUAAACUCCGU
RNAcentral lists this ribosomal RNA (496 nucleotides) under uncultured bacterium. RNAcentral describes it as "partial 16S ribosomal RNA". It matches the Rfam family "Bacterial small subunit ribosomal RNA", at positions 28 to 506 of the family's 1533-position model. The record is from RNAcentral.